AUACUACUCCCUCCGUCCCAUGUUAAGUGUCUCAAAUUUGUCUAAAAUGCAUGUAUCUACACACUAAGACGCGUCUAGAUACAUGUAAUAUUUUGACACUUAAUAUGGGACGGAGGAAGUAUGAU
Brachypodium distachyon (stiff brome) is the source of this 125-nucleotide non-coding RNA. The record is from Rfam. Lineage: Eukaryota; Viridiplantae; Streptophyta; Magnoliopsida; Poales; Poaceae.